UACAGAGGUCUCAAGCGUUGUUCGGAUUCAUUGGGCGUAAAGGGUGCGUAGGCGGCGCGGUAAGUCGGGUGUGAAAUCUCGGAGCUUAACUCCGAAAUUGCAUUCGAUACUGCCGUGCUUGAGGACUGGAGAGGAGACUGGAAUUUACGGUGUAGCGGUGAAAUGCGUAGAGAUCCGGAGGAACACCAGCGGCGAAGGCGGCAUCCUGGACUGGUCCUGACACUCAUGAGCGAAAGCGUGGGGGAGCGAUCCGG
RNAcentral lists this ribosomal RNA (254 nucleotides) under uncultured bacterium. Its description in RNAcentral is "partial 16S ribosomal RNA". It matches the Rfam family "Bacterial small subunit ribosomal RNA", at positions 524 to 776 of the family's 1533-position model. The record is from RNAcentral.